GAUGAACGCUGGCGGCGUGCUUAACACAUGCAAGUCGAGCGGGCAAUUUAUCUAGCACUGAUUACUUCAAAUGGAAAUCAUAAGUGUAAUCAUGAAUUUCUACCUUUAAUAAAGAAAAAAGAAAUUCAUGUACGCAAAUAGUGAUAACACAUGAAAGUGGAGUGAUGAGUGCUGGAUAAAUUGCUAGCGGCGGACGGGUGAGUAACACGUGGGUAACCUGCCUCAAAGUGGGGGAUAGCCUUCCGAAAGGAAGAUUAAUACCGCAUAAGCCUACAGUACCGCAUGGUACAGCAGGAAAAGGAGCAAUCCGCUUUGAGAUGGACCCGCGGCGCAUUAGCUAGUUGGUGAGGUAACGGCUCACCAAGGCCACGAUGCGUAGCCGACCUGAGAGGGUGAUCGGCCACAUUGGAACUGAGACACGGUCCAGACUCCUACGGGAGGCAGCAGUGGGGAAU
Molecule: ribosomal RNA, 455 nt
Filed under: uncultured bacterium
Lineage: Bacteria
Description: bacterial SSU rRNA
Rfam family: Bacterial small subunit ribosomal RNA
Source: RNAcentral